GUGGUAAAGAAAAAUGGGGUGUCGUGAGAGCCUGAAUCUCUUAUUGUCAUACAGGACCAAGCAAGAAACACAGUGCAGAGAGGCAAGGAGGUAAAAUAAAGGGAGUAAAGCAAAAGGAACAGGGACCGGUUUCCGUGAACAUAACAGCCGAGAAAACAUCUGACACCUUACAGACAUGUCAGGAAGCAAGGAAAGGUUAUUUUUUCACUCAUUGUUUACAUUUGGGUGAUUAACUUAGUCUUGAAAAAAAAAACACGUCAUUUUAAUGACAUUGUGAUAAAUAAA
Molecule: long non-coding RNA, 285 nt
Organism: Ixodes scapularis (black-legged tick)
Lineage: Eukaryota; Metazoa; Arthropoda; Arachnida; Ixodida; Ixodidae
Exons: 3
Source: RefSeq, a predicted model, not a curated record